This 519-nucleotide ribosomal RNA is filed under the name uncultured bacterium. Its description in RNAcentral is "bacterial SSU rRNA". It matches the Rfam family "Bacterial small subunit ribosomal RNA", at positions 30 to 518 of the family's 1533-position model. The record is from RNAcentral.
CGAACGCUGGCGGCGUGCUUAACGACAUGCAAGUCGAACGAGGUGAUUGAAAGCUUGCUUUGAGAACCGAGUGGCAAACGGGUGAGUAACGCGUAGACAACCUGCCGCAAAGAUGGGGACAACAGUCCGAAAGGACUGCUAAUACCGAAUGUUGUCAGUUUCUCGCAUGAGAGACUGAUUAAAGAUGGCCUCUACUUGUAAGCUAUCGCUUUGCGAUGGGUCUGCGUCUGAUUAGCUAGUUGGUGGGGUAACGGCCUACCAAGGCGACGAUCAGUAGCCGGUCUGAGAGGAUGAACGGCCACAUUGGAACUGAGACACGGUCCAGACUCCUACGGGAGGCAGCAGUGGGGAAUCUUCCGCAAUGGGCGAAAGCCUGACGGAGCAACGCCGCGUGAGUGAAAAGAAGGGUUUCGGCUCGUAAAGCUCUGUUGACGGGGACGAAUGUGCUACUUGCGAAUAGUUAGUAGUAAUGACGGUACCCGUCGAGGAAGCCACGGCUAACUACGUGCCAGCAGCGGC